AGCCCCCUCUGUAGGAGCACCUUCCUUGAUCAAAUCCUGGUCACUACUAACGCUUAGUGUAGAGUGGACCUUCUUAGAAGAACUUUUUCUCAGUACGCUUUGCUUGUAUUUUCUGGGGCUGGCCGUUUAGAUAUGCAACUGCAGCUGUAAAGUAGCCAUUUUGGAGCUGGCUUCUGCUUACUGCCUCGCCCUCUCUUCCAGAUGGAUGAAGACUGUUUUACUACUGGUCUGCUGCUGAGAGUAGUUUGAGUGAAAUGAAAGGCACUGUGAGGUAAAGAGAAGGACACACUUCUUUAUGGUUCUUGCAUGAUCUGCUGGCUUUACUAGUCUCCACCACUCUCUGAAAUUACCUUGUUUGGAUUCCAAAUGAAUGAAGGAUCCCUCCAACGUAGUUUGGCUUCUGAAGUGUUGACACAGAAACAGCCCCAUAUACAUCGAAAGAACCAAAGGUCAGACCUGUGUUAGGCAUAUACUCCCCUGGCACCGUAGAAAUCCACCCAGAGGCCUGCAGAAAAGUUGGUUACACACAAGAAAAAAAUAUGGUGGUAGGAAGACUAAUUCAAGGAAGCUGGGAGGCAGGUGAAACCCAUUAUUUCAAGCCCUAGCCCCAUGUUAAGUGGAAGCAUAGGUCUUGUGUGCAAGUAGGGUUCUUAUAAUUCCUAACCUUGAAUGAUAUUCCUGCCUUUGAACAAUAUUGUUGUAUGUUAAAUGCUCGGUAAAAUAGCUGCCUUAAAAAUGCUUUCCCCUCACCCCUGGCCCCAUGCUUUUUUUUUUUUUUUAUUACAAGUGCAUACUGUGGCCAGUAUUACUUAGUAUCCUUCCUAUGCCUGAAAAAAGUGUUACUUUUAUGGAUGAUGUUAUGUUUAUGAGUCUUUGUCCAUCCUAGGCCUCCUCUACCCCACUGCUGCUUCCUCUGAGGUUUUGCUACUACAGGGUGUUAAUUUCCUGUUUUGACUCUGUCACAGAUGAAUUCACAGCCACCAUUUAAAAACAAACCAAAACACACACACACACACACAAUGCUGACAAAGGCACUAAUAAAACCCUAAAGUUUAAAGAGUGGCCCUGAAGUUUCUUCACAGAGCAGCAAGGGCACUUUUCACCUCUUUGGAGACGCACUCUUUGGGAAGGACUCUUUUUUUUUUUUUUUUUUUUCUGGCUCCAUGGAACGGUUGGAGUUUAAGCAAGUUGCAUUAGCAUUUGGGGUGAGUGUUUAGUCUGCAGACAGAUGGACUGAAAAGCACGCGCUGCUGACUUGAACCUUUAAAAUGGAAAGAUACAGAGCCAAGCGAGCCUUCUGACAUUCGUAGGAAAUGCAAGGAGAAACAAAAAGAUUGAGCUGACAUAUUGGUGACAAUCAGGAGAUGGGGCUGGUACAUGUGACCCACUGAGACUCUUGUCUCCUGUUUUGGUUACUGGCAAGAGGAAAAAUCAGUGUUUCCAGUGCAUAUUUUCUGUAAUAAUCCCCGCAUCUGUACUCUUGAAUAUUCAAAGUCUGAGAUGGAACUGAUUUACUAGAUCAUUCCCCUGCUGGUGUAGGAGUCUCAUAAUGUUUUUUUUUUUCCCCCUUGCUUUUCAUCUAGUUUGGAUUAAAAAUAUCUCAACUCACUCCCUUAGGAGACAAUCCUCUAAACUAACAGGCUUUUUUGACAUUCAGUCCACAUUUUUAUUUUCUAAAAUUCAUCCCAUUGAUCUUACUGCUACUCUGAAAACCCCUUCUUCCCCCCCCUUAGAGCAUACAGGUGUACAAGGGUUAUACUCAUUUUAUACACAGAACAGUUUAAAUUCAGGCCUCUCUGUUUUCAUUUAAAGAUAGUACCUUCUUUUCUGUUCACACCAGAUCCU
Long non-coding RNA from Dermochelys coriacea (leatherback sea turtle), 1845 nucleotides. RefSeq lists it as uncharacterized. Lineage: Eukaryota; Metazoa; Chordata; Testudines; Dermochelyidae. The record is from RefSeq and is a predicted model, not a curated record. The transcript is spliced from 3 exons.